GAGAGAGAGAGAGAGAGAGAGAGAGAGAGAGAGAGAGAGAGAGAGAGAGAGAGGCUGGUAAGCUUAUAAUAAGCAAAAAGGAAAGUGAGAGGGAAUCAGUACGUGAAUCUGAUACAAUGUUUUCAAUCGUUUAUUUUGUUUUUCUGAUCUCUUGCUCAGCCCUAGCAGAGAGUGAAAAUGAAGCUCUUUCAGUUUGGUGGGAGCCAGAGAUGCCUUCACAUUCUGAAAACUUACACAGUUUCACGGACGGCUAUGGAAAUGACUUAUCAAGAAAGCGGCCGAACAUCAUCUUCUGUUGCGUAUGCCAAGAGGCUGUAAGACGAGCUAGGACAGCAGUUAAUCAAAAGAUUUCAAAGAAGAUAAACAAUGUCUGUUACAAAUUCAUAGAGGGUUUUCGAAAGAUCUGCUUGCAGCGUGCAGGGAGAUAUCGGGACAUCAUACUGCACAAACUCUUCCCUGGUGGGAGUGCAAGGGGCACAUGUUUGAAGAUAAAGUUAUGCUAACAACUGUGACAAUGGCUGUAGAAGGGAUACAUUUACAUUGACUGUUACUAGCUAACUUCACUGUAAUCUGUUUUUUAAAUGAUCAAAGCUGUUUUUCAUUAUUUGAGAGAAAAUUGUUAGUUGAAUAUCAGUCCAGCCAUGUGUAUUUUCAAUGUGCAUACACAUUUUUUUGUCAUCAACUUGAAUGUUUGCCAUCUAUAGAGUCUUCUGUUUUCCUUUAUGCUUUUCAGAAAAUCAAUAAAACAUGUGGUAAACGGACUCCCCUUGUGCGUUCUUUCUGCUAUUCUGUAGCCAACGGAUACAAAAAUUCCAUAAUGAGGACCUUUUUUCCUGGAGGUACUCCUAUAGCCACCUGCAGAGUGAUGAGGUUAUGUGAUUACAGAGAUGAUAAGAUCAACAAAUGCAGUUAAAAGUUAUGUUUAACCCCUUUAAAAUAUAAUCUAAUAGAUGGAUGUUUAUUGUACUGAAGAUGCUUUUUUUGCGGAUCCUGUGGUAUAAGAUUGCCUUAUGUUUUACAAAAAUUACACAUUAAAAAUCAAAUAAUAUUCAUGUGACUUUCUAUUUGGUUAUUUUCUGUUGAUAGUAAUAAUGCAUUUCAUUGUUUUUUCAUUAAAGUUGUUGUCUCUCCCCAAGACAUACCAAGCAGUAAUACCCAAUAAUUCACAUCAAUGCAGUUUAAAAAAUCAAUGUAAAAUAAACAAUUCUGUGAAAUAAAUAUUUUUUCAAAAGGUG
Rhinichthys klamathensis goyatoka is the source of this 1235-nucleotide long non-coding RNA. RefSeq lists it as uncharacterized. The transcript is spliced from 4 exons. The record is from RefSeq and is a predicted model, not a curated record. NCBI's taxonomy places the organism in Eukaryota, Metazoa, Chordata, Actinopteri, Cypriniformes, Leuciscidae.